AAGCGGCAAAGCUCAAAUUUGAAAUCUGGCACUUUCAGUGUCCGAGUUGUAAUUUGAAGAAGGUAUCUUUGGGUCUGGCUCUUGUCUAUGUUUCUUGGAACAGAACGUCACAGAGGGUGAGAAUCCCGUGCGAUGAGAUGUCCCAGACCUAUGUAAAGUUCCUUCGAAGAGUCGAGUUGUUUGGGAAUGCAGCUCUAAGUGGGUGGUAAAUUCCAUCUAAAGCUAAAUAUUGGCGAGAGACCGAUAGCGAACAAGUACAGUGAUGGAAAGAUGAAAAGAACUUUGAAAAGAGAGUGAAAAAGUACGUGAAAUUGUUGAAAGGGAAGGGCUUGAGAUCAGACUUGGUAUUUUGUAUGUUACUCUCUCGGGGGUGGCCUCUACAGUUUACCGGGCCAGCAUCAGUUUGAGCGGUAGGAUAAGUGCAAAGAAAUGUGGCACUGCUUCGGUAGUGUGUUAUAGUCUUUGUCGAUACUGCCAGCUUAGACUGAGGACUGCGGCUUCGGCCUAGGAUGUUGGCAUAAUGAUCUUAAGUCGCCCGUCUUGAACCACGGACCA
This 555-nucleotide ribosomal RNA is filed under the name Lodderomyces parapsilosis. RNAcentral describes it as "LSU rRNA". It matches the Rfam family "Eukaryotic large subunit ribosomal RNA", at positions 97 to 668 of the family's 3401-position model. The record is from RNAcentral. Lineage: Eukaryota; Fungi; Ascomycota; Pichiomycetes; Serinales; Debaryomycetaceae.